Molecule: ribosomal RNA, 632 nt
Filed under: uncultured bacterium
Lineage: Bacteria
Description: bacterial SSU rRNA
Rfam family: Bacterial small subunit ribosomal RNA (bases 1-531)
Source: RNAcentral
CCUACGGGAGGCAGCAGUGGGGAAUCUUGCGCAAUGGGCGAAAGCCUGACGCAGCCAUGCCGCGUGAAUGAUGAAGGUCUUAGGAUUGUAAAAUUCUUUCACCGGGGACGAUAAUGACGGUACCCGGAGAAGAAGCCCCGGCUAACUUCGUGCCAGCAGCCGCGGUAAUACGAAGGGGGCUAGCGUUGCUCGGAAUUACUGGGCGUAAAGGGAGCGUAGGCGGAUAGUUUAGUCAGAGGUGAAAGCCUAGGGCUCAACCUUGGAAUUGCCUUUGAUACUGGCUAUCUUGAGUAUGGGAGAGGUAUGCGGAACUCCGAGUGUAGAGGUGAAAUUCGUAGAUAUUCGGAAGAACACCAGUGGCGAAGGCGGCAUACUGGCCCAUUACUGACGCUGAGGCUCGAAAGCGUGGGGAGCAAACAGGAUUAGAUACCCUGGUAGUCCACGCUGUAAACGAUGAGUGCUAGUUGUCGGCAUGCAUGCAUGUUCGGUUGGUACGCGACGCGUAACCGACUAUUAAGACGACCGUCCGCCGUGGGGAGGGUACGGGUCGGCGAAGUAAGUUAAAACGUUAAAAGGUUAAAGUUAGUUACGGCGUGAGGACGUUGCCGACGGACGACGACGAGGGGAGGAGG